UACGGGAGUGGCAAGCGUUAUCCGGAAUUAUUGGGCGUAAAGCGUCCGCAGGCGGUCUUUUAAGUCUGCUGUUAAAGCGUGGAGCUUAACUCCAUUUGGGCAGUGGAAACUGGAAGACUAGAGUGUGGUAGGGGCAGAGGGAAUUCCCGGUGUAGCGGCGAAAUGCGUAGAUAUCGGGAAGAACACCAGUGGCGAAGGCGCUCUGCUGGGCCAUAACUGACGCUCAUGGACGAAAGCCAGGGGAGCGAAAGGGAUUAGAUACCCCUGUAGUCCUGGCCGUAAACGAUGAACACUAGGUGUCGGGGGAAUCGACCCCCUCGGUGUCGUAGCCAACGCGUUAAGUGUUCCGCCUGGGGAGUACGCACGCAAGUGUGAAACUCAAAGGAAUUGACGGGGGCCCGCACAAGCGGUGGAGUAUGUGGUUUAAUUCGAUGCAACGCGAAGAACCUUACCAGGGUUUGACAUCCUGCGAAUCCCUUGGAAACGAGGGAGUGCCUUCGGGAACGCAGUGACAGGUGGUGCAUGGCUGUCGUCAGCUCGUGUCGUGAGAUGUUGGGUUAAGUCCCGCAACGAGCGCAACCCACGUCGUUAGUUGCCAGCAUUCAGUUGGGCACUCUAGCGAGACCGCCGGUGAUAAACCGGAGGAAGGUGUGGAUGACGUCAAGUCAUCAUGCCCCUUACAUCCUGGGCUACACACGUACUACAAUGCUACGGACAAAGGGCAGCAAACUCGCGAGAGCUAGCAAAUCCCAUAAACCGUGGCUCAGUUCAGAUCGUAGGCUGCAACUCGCCUACGUGAAGGAGGAAUCGCUAGUAAUCGCAGGUCAGCAUACUGCGGUGAAUACGUUCCCGGGCCU
Molecule: ribosomal RNA, 857 nt
Filed under: uncultured bacterium
Lineage: Bacteria
Description: SSU rRNA
Rfam family: Bacterial small subunit ribosomal RNA
Source: RNAcentral